CCUACGGGAGGCAGCAGUGGGGGAUAUUGCACAAUGGGGGGAACCCUGAUGCAGCGACGCCGCGUGGGUGAAGAAGCGCCUCGGCGCGUAAAGCCCUGUCAGCAGGGAAGAAAAUGACGGUAUCUGAAGAAGAAGCCCCGGCUAACUACGUGCCAGCAGCCGCGGGAAUACGUAGGGGGCAAGCGUUAUCCGGAUUUACUGGGUGUAAAGGGGGCGCAGACGGCGAUGCAAGCCAGGAGUGAAAGCCCGGGGCCCAACCCCGGGACUGCACUUGGAACUGCGUGGCUGGAGUGCAGGAGGGGCAGGCGGAAUUCCUGGUGUAGCGGUGAAAUGCGUAGAUAUCAGGAGGAACACCAGUGGCGAAGGCGGCCUGCUGGACUGCAACUGACGGUGAGGCCCGAAAGCGUGGGGAGCAAACAGGAUUAGAUACCCCAGUAGUC
RNAcentral lists this ribosomal RNA (440 nucleotides) under uncultured bacterium. RNAcentral's name for it is "partial 16S ribosomal RNA". It matches the Rfam family "Bacterial small subunit ribosomal RNA", at positions 338 to 795 of the family's 1533-position model. The record is from RNAcentral.